CUGAAAUGCAAAGUGGAGCCUGAACUUUUCUUCAUCCUUUACUUUACACAGCCGGUUGAAUAGGACAUUAAGCAUCCAACAGGAAGGUGUGAUUACUUCCUGGAAACAUUGACAGUGGAGCAUGUACUGAUAGUGUGUGCAGUAUGAGAGGGAAAGAGACAGAUUGAGUAUGAGGGAGAAGGUGAUACAGGAAUUGACUUUAAAGAGAAUACUGAGUAGAAUAACAUAAUUUGAUGGAGGCAAAUGUUUUAUCUUUUAAGAGAAACUGGGCUGGCAGGUUGGAUUUACAAUUUCUCCCUGUCUACCUGAUUUAUUGUUUCUACCUAUCCCACAGAUUAUACAUUAUAUUGACCAGAUACUCAAUUGGCCGCUCUAACAAUGAAAAUAAAUGUCUUCAAAAAUGGAAGGCAGUCAGGAGGAGGCAAGAUCAUGUGGGACCAUUCAAGCCAAUGAGAGGGCAGAUAGGAGUGUGAUAACAGGCACAACUCCAAUAUAGUGUUUUUUCUCAGAGUUGCAUGGAUGUCACGUGUCCUACUUAUCAGUAGCUACAUUCAUAACAACCUAAGAAUUACGAAACUUCUGUUCGAUCAAAUAAGCCACACGUACCAAAUAAGUCAUAUUUUUGCUUAACCAAAUUCAACACGCAUUGACCUCUAUACAAAAACUUCUGGCUUGGUGAGUAAAACAUUUUUUUUUUUAACACCACCUGCUGGAGAACACAGAUUUUGGUCCCUGUUAUCCCUCUCAUUUUGCCUCUUCCUCUUUGGAGAUACUUUAGAGGAGAUAGUCCCAGUCGGUAGCGGCCAGCCUUGUACAGCCGUAACGGAAGUUAUGGUGACCUUAUUUGACCUAUUCUACUGCUUUUGAGAUACGGUUCGAUCCCACCUUGGGGCACUACUUGUUGAGUAAUUAAAACACUAAACAAUCACAAUACAGUAACUAUUGGUCACUAUUAUGUAUUAUUAUUCUAAUAUGUAUUAAUUAUAGAAUUGUGUCAGUUAUUAAUAAUAAACCUUAAAACUGCAUUCUUCCUUCCCUCUCUCCCCAUCUCUCCAUGUUUCAGCUCCAGAUGACAAAACCUGCUCACACUCCCAGAGGGUUGCAGGUCUGCCGACUUCCUUUUGGUCACACAUUUUAUUUGGAGAAAUAUCCAAUAAACCAAAGA
This 1165-nucleotide long non-coding RNA is filed under the name Salmo salar (Atlantic salmon). RNAcentral's name for it is "lncRNA (ENSSSAG00000113356.1)". The record is from RNAcentral. Lineage: Eukaryota; Metazoa; Chordata; Actinopteri; Salmoniformes; Salmonidae.